RNAcentral lists this ribosomal RNA (472 nucleotides) under uncultured bacterium. RNAcentral's name for it is "partial 16S ribosomal RNA". It matches the Rfam family "Bacterial small subunit ribosomal RNA", at positions 28 to 507 of the family's 1533-position model. The record is from RNAcentral.
GACGAACGCUGGCGGCGUGCUUAACACAUGCAAGUCGAACGCUGAAGCUUGUUGCUUGUACUGGGUGGAUGAGUGGCGCACGAGUACGUGCUACGUGAGUAACCAGAACUAGACUCUGGGAUAAGCAUGGGACACUGGGUCUAAUACUGGAUACGACAUGCCACUGCAUGGUGGUGUGUGGAAUGGGUUUUAAUGGUUUUGGGUGGGCUCGUGGCCUAUCAGCUAGUUGGUGGGGUACUGGCCUACCAAGGCGACGACUGGUAGCCGGCCUGCGAGGGUGACCGGCCACACUGGGACUGAGACACGGCCCAGACUCCUACGGGAGGGAGCAGGGGGGAAUAAUGCACAAGGGGCGGAAGCCUGAUGCAGCGACGCCGCGUGAGGGAUGACGGCCUGCGGGUUGUAAGCCUCUUUCAGCACGGAAGAAGCGAGAGAGACGGUACGUGCAGAAGAAGCGCCGGCUAACUACGGG